This 253-nucleotide ribosomal RNA is filed under the name uncultured bacterium. RNAcentral describes it as "partial 16S ribosomal RNA". It matches the Rfam family "Bacterial small subunit ribosomal RNA", at positions 524 to 776 of the family's 1533-position model. The record is from RNAcentral.
UACAGAGGUCCCAAGCGUUGUUCGGAUUCACUGGGCGUAAAGGGUGCGUAGGCGGGUAAGUAAGUCCGUGGUGAAAUCUCUGAGCUUAACUCAGAAACUGCCGUGGAUACUAUUUGCCUUGAAUAUUGUGGAGGUGAGCGGAAUAUGUCAUGUAGCGGUGAAAUGCUUAGAUAUGACAUAGAACACCAAUUGCGAAGGCAGCUCACUACACAAUCAUUGACGCUGAGGCACGAAAGCGUGGGGAUCAAACAGG